GAUGAAGAACGUAGCGAAAUGCGAUAAGUAAUGUGAAUUGCAGAAUUCAGUGAAUCAUCGAGUCUUUGAACGCACAUUGCGCCCCCUGGUAUUCCGGGGGGCAUGCCUGUCCGAGCGUCAUUGCCGCCCUCAAGCACGGCUUGUGUGUUGGGCCCCCGCCCCCCGGCUUCGGGGGGCGGGCCCGAAAGGCAGCGGCGGCACCGCGUCCGGUCCUCGAGCGUAUGGGGCUUCGUCACCCGCUCUGUAGGCCCGGCCGGCGCCCGCCGGCGACCCCAAUCAAUCUUUCCAGGUUGACCUCGGAUCAGGUAGGGACACCCGCUGAACUUAAGCAUAUCAAUAAGCGGAGGA
Molecule: unclassified non-coding RNA, 348 nt
Filed under: soil metagenome
Description: partial contains 5.8S ribosomal RNA, internal transcribed spacer 2, and large subunit ribosomal RNA
Rfam family: 5.8S ribosomal RNA (bases 1-120)
Source: RNAcentral